GCGUCCGAGUUGUAAUCUAUAGAGUCGUUUUCCGUGCCGGACUGUGUCCAAGUCCCUUGGAACAGGGUAUCAAAGAGGGUGAUAAUCCCGUACUUGACACAAUGACCGGUGCUCUGUGAUACGUCUUCUACGAGUCGAGUUGUUUGGGAAUGCAGCUCAAAAUGGGUGGUGAGUUCCAUCUAAAGCUAAAUAUUGGCGAGAGACCGAUAGCGAACAAGUACCGUGAGGGAAAGAUGAAAAGCACUUUGGAAAGAGAGUUAAACAGUACGUGAAAUUGUUAAAAGGGAAACGAUUGAAGUCAGUCGUGACUGAGAGGCUCAGCCGGUUCUGCCGGUGUAUUCCCCUCAGUCGGGUCAACAUCAGUUUUGUUCGGUGGAUAAGGGCAGUUGGAAGGUGGCACCCUCGGGUGUGUUAUAGCCAGCUGUCGCAUACAUCGGAUGAGACUGAGGAAUGCAGCUCGCCUUUAUGGCCGGGGUUCGCCCACGUUCGAGCUUAGGAUGUUGACAUAAUGGCUUUAAACGACCCGUCUUGA
RNAcentral lists this ribosomal RNA (532 nucleotides) under Papiliotrema flavescens. RNAcentral's name for it is "eukaryotic LSU rRNA". It matches the Rfam family "Eukaryotic large subunit ribosomal RNA", at positions 134 to 657 of the family's 3401-position model. Lineage: Eukaryota; Fungi; Basidiomycota; Tremellomycetes; Tremellales; Rhynchogastremaceae. The record is from RNAcentral.